UGGUUGGCCCACCCGGUAUCUGAUCACUAGCCUUUUUUUACUUGAUAGUGGGGGGCUUCGCAGUCAGCUUACGCCUUUUCAUUUUGGAAUAUGUGAUUGCAAGCAAAUGGUUUCUUAGAGAUGGUGCGGGGAUGGUGGUCUACUUAUGCAGUUACAGGCUCGCCUAGUUAUAUGUUAGCACAGAGGCUAAAAUUGCUUAAAAGGGAUUUGAAAACCUGUAAUAGAGAGGUGUUUGGUCGUUUAGAAGGUCAGAGAGAAGCAGUGGCGUCCUUAUUAUCUUUGUUGGAUGACGUAAAGGCUGAAAGGGGCUCAUCGCCAGAGGAUUCGCCGCACUUCUGACACUUCCGUUGCCAGACACAGCACUGUCGGAGACCACCACACCAGAUUCAGGUCACGCCCAGCAAUAACCCACCGCCGUCGCAGCAAGGUCUCAACCUGUCGUCGUGUCGGCAGAACAAACAAAAAGUCUUGGCCCCCAAUUGGUCAGUUUUCCACUUUCCCGAACUCCUUCCACCAACGACCGACCCAUUCUGUCAUGGCUAAAAAACCCAGCCCCUUGUCCCCUCUCAAACCCACUUUACCCACUAUCGCCCAGUUCAGAUAUUGGAACCACCCUUCCUCCGCCACACCAUUCACCACCUCAACUCCUCCAAUUGGGCCGAUUGUCCACUCAAGCUUUGGAACAGCCCUUUUCUCGAUCAUCACCCCCUUGUCCUCACCCCCCUUCGACCCCCCUUUCGGCCCUAUAGCAAAACCUUCAAUAACCAGUGUUCCCCCUCUCAUCCAUGCGCAAACUCCGACAUAGGAAGGUAAAUCUGAGUCCUUUUGCCUUCCAAUGUCACCACGAUCUGCACCGAAGAACCACCAUUGUCCUCGCCGAGAAGCCAGGUUGCCACGCUUCGUCCCUUCCCUUCUAGCCAGCCUAAAAAAGAAUAACGAUCGGACAUGCGGGACGCCGUCCUCAGUUUCCUGGCGGUCCAUUGUACUUCAAACCCCGAUAGCAUGACCUCCCGCCGCAGCCCUUGCCCCCGCUCCACAAUAGACAAUUGGCGGUGGCCUCUGUGAUCUGCAAUUGCUUCUUCAAACUCAAAGGACCUACCUCCAAGGAAAAGGAUUCGGUGACGUGGUCCCGUCGCCGCCUUCACCGGAAUCAUCCCAGGUAACUAAUGCAUCCCACUGGAAAUUCUUAAUAAGGAAAGUCUUAGAGAGAGUAGUAAAUAAAAAUAUAAGAAGCCUUCACACAAGACAUCAAUAAUGCUUAAGAGUCCAAUUCUAACUCUGGUUGAUUUCAAUCACUUAAUAGUUGAUACGCUUAUAAUGGGUUGUGCAUGCUCAUUGUCAAGAGUAGUCCCAUACCAUUACUUUGCAUCAAUCGAUUCGCAGCGUGAAUGAUUAGAACCAUUAGGCCACCAAAGAGUUUGACCAUCAAAAUUGACCUAUAUUUUGUAUUCUUUGGUAUAGACACUUUUCACUAGGUUGGUUUGAGUAUUCUCAGGAAUCUGGGGCUUUGGCCUACAAAGGAGAUCCCAAUGGAAACAUGUAAAUUUUUUUUGGGGUGGGCCAAUCCUCUUUCUCUAGUUACAAAAGAAGAAACAGCAGAAGGGUGAAGAUAUCACAGAUUCAUAAUAGUACCAUGAGUUGCAGAAAAGAACCUUCUAAAGUACCAAAAUGUGGUAAUUACUUUUCCACUUUUGAUUUCUUAAUUUAAUAAAAUUGCUAUGGGAAUGUGAUAUGUUCUUUAUCAUUGUUCAGUGAGAUUUUAUUUGCUCUCUAUGAUAUGUUGGACCAACAGAGUUUUCAGUUUUUACACUUUCGAGGUUUUUCACCAUCCUAAUGUAGGCAGUUUUCUACAUUCCUGACCUAGAAUGAGAUUUAUUUGAUUUUGGCAAUAUAAAACUGUGAUUGCCAGAGCUAAUUAUAUUAUGAUACUGCUGUAAAAAUUCUUGUGGAACAGGGAUUUGAACGAGCUUCAGAUAUUAUUUUUGCAAUGCCAGAAGAUAUUGAGAAAAGGGCUUACAUAUUCUGCUAGUCUGGCUCGAGCUUGGGCUGCCGAUUGUUGUCUAAUCAACUUUGUUUCUUCUUUUAAUGAUUGUGAUUGGCAGAACAAAUCAAUAAUGUGGAUCAAUUUUUAAUGUUGAGCAGAUUAUCAAAGUCAUCUAAUUGUGGAGAAGCUACUGUCUUUUUAGUCCACCAAGAAGUUAUGGUGAGCCGGAUGAGCAAUGUGGAUGAAUUGCUUACCCGUUCCCACUAGACUGAUACAUAUAAGCUUAUUCAAAAGCAUGGACACAUUUUAUUUUUCAUUUAAACCAAUGAAAUGCUGCUUGACCUGAAUUGCAUCAUUAUAUUUCUUUUGCUCAGUAUGGAUUGGUACUCACUGAUUGGAAACUAGCAUUAGAUCUUUGCAGGAACGAAUCUUCAAUGCAGGAUAGCUUCCAUUUGAAGUCACAAAGUAAUGAAUCAUAGCUAGGGUUUCGAUUCUGUCAAGCUCAUACCCAGGACACAUUCUGGAAGAUGUUCUCCUCCAUGUGAGUCAUGCUUGCUGCCCAUACCACCUGAGUAUCAGAAUUCUAUGUCGGUACUAGCUAUUUUCUUAAUACUACAUGCAUUAAUUUCGCUGAUAGAGCUUCUUUGAAGGAAACAUUAAACUAUAUUUGCACAUACUUGCCAUCGUUUUGGUAUUAGGUGUCUUUCCUAUUCUGCAUCUUUGAGUUGAGAGCCUAUUCUGUAUCUUUGAGUUGAGAGCCCUCCUAAAGGUGCAGAACACAGGAGGGUCAUCCUUAGAGUCUCCAUUGCUACUCUCCAUGUGUGCAUUUGACAAGUGCAUCCCACAUGAGAAGCUCCCCGUAGAGCCUUGCUCUUUGCAAUCUCUCUCUUGUUCUGCAAUCUCAAAUAACAAAUUUUUUGUAAGCUUAAUUUUUAUAGUUUCCUAUGCAUUUUCUGUUCUUAAAUCUGUCAUGAUUGCAGAGGCUGAGAGAGAGAAGCGAACAAUAUAGCUGAAUUGUCUUUGUUGCAGAUACUAAGGAAGCAAUUGAUGAGGUCUUGUUGAAGGGAAGCAGCAUUUCUUUCCAAUGCUAAUUUCUUCUCAUUUAUAAGAUUGACCUUUUUCUCGGAGCCUAUGGUUGAAGCCUCUUAGGAUUGUACUUAAUUCUUUCCUGCCGCGAUGUUUUGCCCUUGUUCAAAGCCUUUUGGAAGAUUUUUCGGCAACCAAGUUGGAGUCAAGCCUACAGCUCGCCUCAUGUGGUUUUUUCGCUUUUGGACUUUGCCAUGCUCGCGAGGGAAGUGGGGACGCUGCUGUGCAGCCCACGCAGCAGCAUCUGUUGUGCGGCAAUUUGGGCCUAUUCAUCCAAACCGUUCACAUUUUAGAAUACGUCAAGUAGAACAUGUCUGCAAAAAAUCAAGUUAAUCGGAUAUCAUUUACCUAUUCAUUCACUCACAUUAGUAUUCAUUUUAAUUAAGCUAAAAUACAUUUGUAUUUAUUUUUGUAGAUACAAAUGUGAGUGGAUGAAUGAGUAAACGAUAUCCGAUUAACUUGAUUUUUUGCAGGCAUAUUCAACUUGAUGUAUUCUAAAAUAUAAACGGUUUGGAUCAUCAAAAUGAGUCUCGAAAUGGGCUCAAAUUGCCACACAGCAUACGCUGCUGGGGGGCUGCGCAGCAGCGUCCCCAUUGUGGCUAGGGGGAUCCUGAAUCUUGCCCUCGGAUUGUGAUGAUCUUUUGUUGAUUUGUGUCCUAGCCUUGUGUUGUCAAUCUUAUUCUAUUAGUUGAGGUCUAUUUCUAAUUGCUCGUUCUUUGUUUGCCUCUUAUAGUUAGAAGUUGCUCACCUCAUGUGGUUUUUUCCCUUUUGGACUUGUAUUGAGUUCUAUAUUUUUUUUGGUAUUAAAAUUCUUUGUGCUCAUUGUCCAUUCUAUUCUUUGUAUUGAA
This is a non-coding RNA of Camellia sinensis, 3918 nucleotides long. NCBI's taxonomy places the organism in Eukaryota, Viridiplantae, Streptophyta, Magnoliopsida, Ericales, Theaceae. The record is from RefSeq and is a predicted model, not a curated record.